CGCUUAUUCGCUUGACCAUAUAACCCAAAGUUGCCUCAAAAUCUAUAAGACAAUGGAUAAACAUUGCCACUUAAGGCUUGCAAUGAGAAAUUAUUAAUAAAAAGUUCAAACGCUUGCUACAUCAUCAAAUUAUAAAAGAACGCUUCACAGCUCCAAGGCUGAUAAGCAUAAAAAAUGCGCAAACCACAUUCAGAAUAAUUGAUAUAACAUUGGUGGGUCUGGGAGGACUCGAACCACCGACCUCACCCUUAUCAGGGGUGCGCUCUAACCACCUGAGCUACAGACCCAUAAAUACUUUCAUGGUGGAGCCUGUCGGGAUCGAACCGACGACCCCCUGCUUGCAAAGCAGGUGCUCUACCAGCUGAGCUAAGGCCCCCAGAACAAAAAUCGCCAACAUAAACCCAAACCUAUGCCAACAUCAAACCCUGAAUGCAAGUAACUUGUGAGGACGCCUGAUAAGACAAUUAUAUUCACCAUACUCAAAAGGAGGUGAUCCAGCCGCACCUUCCGAUA
RNAcentral lists this unclassified non-coding RNA (513 nucleotides) under Xylella fastidiosa. RNAcentral describes it as "16S-23S ribosomal RNA intergenic spacer". Lineage: Bacteria; Pseudomonadati; Pseudomonadota; Gammaproteobacteria; Lysobacterales; Lysobacteraceae. The record is from RNAcentral.